GGGGAUGCUCGGUUUCGAUCGGGGGAUUUUAGGUAUAGGUUUCAGGCGGGUCUGGGCACAUCCUUAAACGGCCCAAAACUAUAGUUGCAAACGACAACUACGCUUACGCAGCUUAAUAGCGCGUUUCCAUUCAACUCUUUUUGGUCUUUGAAGUUUUGAUCAUGGUUAUAAAAUAAAGAAAUCGGCAUGCUAUUAGUGAGCUAGUAUGCUUAAAUUUUUCACUUGCGGUAAGAGUAGGUUUGUUUAUCUUCUAAUGCUUACUAAAGUUUUUAAGAUGAACCAAGCUUGUGGAUAAGGCCUAUACUAAAACCUUCGGGACGCGGGUUCGAUUCCCGCCAUCUCCA
This 344-nucleotide transfer-messenger RNA is filed under the name uncultured Brevinema sp. It matches the Rfam family "transfer-messenger RNA". Rfam says of the family: Bacterial tmRNA, also known as 10Sa RNA or SsrA, is named for its dual tRNA and mRNA-like properties. Lineage: Bacteria; Pseudomonadati; Spirochaetota; Spirochaetia; Brevinematales; Brevinemataceae. The record is from RNAcentral.